Long non-coding RNA from Osmerus eperlanus (European smelt), 209 nucleotides. RefSeq lists it as uncharacterized. The record is from RefSeq and is a predicted model, not a curated record. Lineage: Eukaryota; Metazoa; Chordata; Actinopteri; Osmeriformes; Osmeridae. The transcript is spliced from 3 exons.
GAGGGGAGAGACCAGACCAGUCAAAGUACCAAGAGGACCAGAGAAGAGCUGGAGGGCGACUGGGACUUAGAGGUACAGAAGGAGAGGAAGGUCAGAGUGAGUCCAGCCUCCACUGAACAGGAAUGACUGAGGUCAGGAACUUCACACACAUUUACAAUCACGCACAGACAUACACACACAUUUACAAUCACACACAGACAUACACACAC